This 497-nucleotide ribosomal RNA is filed under the name uncultured bacterium. Its description in RNAcentral is "partial 16S ribosomal RNA". It matches the Rfam family "Bacterial small subunit ribosomal RNA", at positions 28 to 507 of the family's 1533-position model. The record is from RNAcentral.
GAUGAACGCUGGCGGCGUGCCUAAUACAUGCAAGUCGAGCGAACGGACGAGAAGCUUGCUUCUCUGAUGUUAGCGGCGGACGGGUGAGUAACACGUGGAUAACCUACCUAUAAGACUGGGAUAACUUCGGGAAGCCGGAGCUAAUACCGGAUAAUAUUUUGAACCGCAUGGUUCAAAAGUGAAAGACGGUCUUGCUGUCACUUAUAGAUGGAUCCGCGCUGCAUUAGCUAGUUGGUAAGGUAACGGCUUACCGAGGCAACGAUGCAUAGCAGACCUGAGAGGGUGAUCGGCCACACUGGAACUGAGACACGGUCCAGACUCCUACGGGAGGCAGCAGUAGGGAAUCUUCCGCAAUGGGCGAAAGCCUGACGGAGCAACGCCGCGUGAGUGAUGAAGGUCUUCGGAUCGUAAAACUCUGUUAUUAGGGAAGAACAUAUGUGUAAGUAACUGUGCACAUCUUGACGGUACCUAAUCAGAAAGCCACGGCUAACUACGUG